GUUCAUAUAGCUUAAAUUUAAAGCAUAGCGCUGAAAACGCUAAGAUGAGCCCUAAAAAGCUCUAUAAACA
Molecule: transfer RNA, 70 nt
Filed under: Kalophrynus palmatissimus
Lineage: Eukaryota; Metazoa; Chordata; Amphibia; Anura; Microhylidae
Description: tRNA-Phe
Rfam family: tRNA
About the family: Transfer RNA (tRNA) molecules are approximately 80 nucleotides in length.
Source: RNAcentral